UAUUCCCUAAAUUUGGGACAGACAGACGCCUAUCCCCAUUCCCCACCAUUUGAAAUUGAAACACAUGUCUAUUCCCUUUACAUUGCCUUUUUUCUCUCUCAUUUUGUAAUUAACCCUAAUUUCUCUACUCUUUCUGCCGCCCCCCACACACCAUGCCACCAUCGCCGCCCUUACGGCUCACACGCUGCCAGCUCUGGCCAUCCUCCUUGCCGCAGCCCCCCACACGCCAGUGACUUCGUUGGAGCCUCAGGUAGUUAUCCAAUUUCAUUAUUUCCGAAAAUUACCUUAUAAACCCUUUUAUUCGUACAGACUUGAAUUUUAUCUCUUCAAGAUUGAGAUUGGUUCAUUUAUGUUUGCCUCUAUUUACCAAUUUGCUAGAAAUUUUCCGUUCUUUCAUCACCCUUCUCGAUUCACUGUACCGGCAACCAUUGCCGGAGGCAGAGCUACGAGCCUACGAGAGAUUCUUAAGCACCCUCAACCAAAUUUUUUUAUAAUUUCAUAUUUUUUUUCAGAAUUAUUCAGUUUUAGCAUUCUUUGUAGUCAAUUUAAUUUAACUCCCAAAAUUAUAUUUCUACAUCUGCUUCUCAUUACAACAUUGAUAUUCAGACUAAAAUUCAUAAAGCCCCCUAAUAUUGAGAUUAAAGUUCAUAGCUUUUAUUGACCAACCACGAAGUAUUUUACUUGUGUUAAAUUACCUUAAAAUGAAUUUAUUUGCGUCUGGGAACCUAAAUUGAAGUUGCUCCAUUUGUAUUGGGCUUGAGGGAGUCACACGAGACAGACAAUUUGUAUAAAUAUUUAUAUGUUUAAAUGUUGAUAUUAAAAUACUACUUGUGAUAAUUUUAGAAGUCAAGUGUUAGAUCUACUUGUAACAUUAAUUUAUAUUUGAUAUUCUUGCAGGAAUAUAGAUGCUGAAAUGUAGUAGAGAUUGCACCUCAAGAUUGGUGGAAGAUUGGAUGUUUGAUAAUAAUUCUAUUGAAGUGUUAUUUUGACGAGUUUGAAACUUCUCUUAAUUUAUAUUUGAUGAAUUUCAAACUUUUGAAUGUAAUGGGUUGUAUUGAGAAUUUAAAUAAUAGAAUCACCAAAUGAGCAUUUGUUGUUAUUUGUUUUUAUUAGGUAAAUGUAUUGAAAUAUAUUUCUAUAUUAUUUAAAAUAUUAUUUACA
Molecule: long non-coding RNA, 1161 nt
Filed under: Salvia miltiorrhiza (redroot sage)
Lineage: Eukaryota; Viridiplantae; Streptophyta; Magnoliopsida; Lamiales; Lamiaceae
Description: long non-coding RNA (SMIL_LNC006833)
Source: RNAcentral